ACGAACGCUGGCGGCGUGCUUAACACAUGCAAGUCGAACGGAAAGGCCCUGCUUUUGUGGGGUUCUCGAGUGGCGAACGGGUUAGUAACACGUGAGUAACCUGCCCUUGACUUUGGGUUAACUUCAGGAAACUGGGGCUAAUACCGGAUAGGAGCUCCUGCUGCAUUGUGGGGGUUGGAAAGUUUCGGCGGUUGGGGAUGGACUCGCGGCUUAUCAGCUUGUUGGUGGGGUAGUGGCUUACCAAGGCUUUGACGGGUAGCCGGCCUGAGAGGGUGACCGGCGACAUUGGGACUGAGAUACGGCCCAGACUCCUACGGGAGGCAGCAGUGGGGAAUAUUGCACAAUGGGCGGAAGCCUGAUGAAGCAACGCCGCGUGCGGGAUGACGGCCUUCGGGUUGUAAACCGAUUUAGAAUGUGACGAAGAGUGAGUGACGGUAAUGGGUAAAGAAGCACCGGCUAACUACGUG
Molecule: ribosomal RNA, 467 nt
Filed under: uncultured bacterium
Lineage: Bacteria
Description: partial 16S ribosomal RNA
Rfam family: Bacterial small subunit ribosomal RNA
Source: RNAcentral